This 231-nucleotide unclassified non-coding RNA is filed under the name Hevea brasiliensis (rubber tree). The record is from RNAcentral. Lineage: Eukaryota; Viridiplantae; Streptophyta; Magnoliopsida; Malpighiales; Euphorbiaceae.
AGCCUCACCCCAACCAUCCAAAACAAUAACAGCAACAGUCUUUCCCUUAGGAAGCUUAGGAUGGUCCUUCAAUUUCCAUGCAUCUCCUGAACUACCCAUUAUCUCAGAUCUUAAAAAUUCUUAAGCGGUAUAGAAGAGAGAAGAGAGAAGAGAGCAAAAAGGUGUGUAGUGGAGAAAACAAUGGAGGAGUGAAGGAGGGGUCUUUAUUGGAAUGGAGGGCUGAAAUACCGG